Molecule: ribosomal RNA, 274 nt
Filed under: uncultured bacterium
Lineage: Bacteria
Description: partial 16S ribosomal RNA
Rfam family: Bacterial small subunit ribosomal RNA
Source: RNAcentral
AUACGGAGGGGGCUAGCGUUGUUCGGAAUUACUGGGCGUAAAGCGCGCGUAGGCGGCUUAUCAAGUUAGGCGUGAAAGGCCUGGGCUCAACCCGGGAACUGCGCUUAAUACUGGUAGGCUUGAGUCCGGGAGAGGGUGGCGGAAUUCCCAGUGUAGCGGUGAAAUGCGUAGAUACUGGGAGGAACACCAGCGGCGAAGGCGGCCACCUGGACCGGUACUGACGCUGAGGUGCGAAAGCGUGGGGAGCAAACAGGAUUAGAAACCCCAGUAGUCC